This 399-nucleotide unclassified non-coding RNA is filed under the name Hevea brasiliensis (rubber tree). Lineage: Eukaryota; Viridiplantae; Streptophyta; Magnoliopsida; Malpighiales; Euphorbiaceae. The record is from RNAcentral.
ACGACGACCAUGAAGAUCCUGUCCAUCCAAUGCCUGGAUGGCGCUAGAGGCCUCCUCACUGGAUGUGUAAGUAACAAAGCCAAAUCCUCUAGAUCUACCAGUUUCUCGAUCCAGAAUGAUUCUUGCUUCAAUCACCUCGCCAUAUUUACUAAAAGCUUCCUUCAGGGAAGUGUCAUCUGUGGCAUAAGAAACACCUCCAACAAAAAGUUUCGAAGAAGACAUCCAUCGUAUUGCUUGAUAGAGGGAUGGCCUGGAUGCAGAAAGUUCAUUAUUGAUCUGGUUGCUGGUUGUCUGCCUCAGUAUACUCCCAACUUUACUAAGAAAAGCCAUUGCAAUAUCCUUAUAAUUGCUUCUCUCUCUUUCACCCUGUGCGGAGCGGAGAGACAAAAACCCUAUUUU